Molecule: ribosomal RNA, 253 nt
Filed under: uncultured bacterium
Lineage: Bacteria
Description: partial 16S ribosomal RNA
Rfam family: Bacterial small subunit ribosomal RNA
Source: RNAcentral
UACGUAGGGGGCAAGCGUUGUCCGGAUUUAUUGGGCGUAAAGCGCUCGCAGGCGGCCCGAUGCGUCGUGCGUGAAAGACCCCGGCUCAACUGGGGGGCGUCGUGCGAUACGGGCGGACUGGAGGCCAGUAGGGGGAUGCGGAAUUCCGGGUGUAGUGGUGGAAUGCGUAGAGACCCGGAGGAACACCAGCGGCGAAGGCGGCAUCCUGGACUGGUCCUGACACUCAGGAGCGAAAGCGUGGGGAGCGAUCCGG